AUGAACGCUGGCGGCGUGCCUAAUACAUGCAAGUCGAGCGAACGGACGAGAAGCUUGCUUCUCUGAUGUUAGCGGCGGACGGGUGAGUGACACGUGGAUAACCUACCUAUAAGACUGGGAUAACUUCGGGAAACCGGAGCUAAUACCGGAUAAUAUUUUGAACCGCAUGGUUCAAAAGUGAAAGACGGUCUUGCUGUCACUUAUAGAUGGAUCCGCGCUGCAUUAGCUAGUUGGUAAGGUAACGGCUUACCAAGGCAACGAUGCAUAGCCGACCUGAGAGGGUGAUCGGCCACACUGGAACUGAGACACGGUCCAGACUCCUACGGGAGGCAGCAGUAGGGAAUCUUCCGCAAUGGGCGAAAGCCUGACGGAGCAACGCCGCGUGAGUGAUGAAGGUCUUCGGAUCGUAAAACUCUGUUAUUAGGGAAGAACAUAUGUGUAAGUAACUGUGCACAUCUUGACGGUACCUAAUCAGAAAGCCACGGCUAACUACGUG
This 496-nucleotide ribosomal RNA is filed under the name uncultured bacterium. RNAcentral describes it as "partial 16S ribosomal RNA". It matches the Rfam family "Bacterial small subunit ribosomal RNA", at positions 29 to 507 of the family's 1533-position model. The record is from RNAcentral.